GCCGGGCGUGGUGGCUCACGCCUGUAAUCCCAGCACUUUGGGAGGCUGAGGUGGGCGGAUUACCUGAGGUCAGGAGUUCGAGACCAGCCUGGCCAACAUGGUGAAACCCCAUCUCUA
This 117-nucleotide signal recognition particle RNA is filed under the name Pan troglodytes (chimpanzee). Its description in RNAcentral is "Metazoan signal recognition particle RNA". It matches the Rfam family "Metazoan signal recognition particle RNA". From Rfam's summary of the family: The signal recognition particle (SRP) is a universally conserved ribonucleoprotein. It is involved in the co-translational targeting of proteins to membranes. Lineage: Eukaryota; Metazoa; Chordata; Mammalia; Primates; Hominidae. The record is from Rfam by way of RNAcentral.